AUUGACAAAGACCGGCUACGGUUUCGUCAACAUCUUGCAAACGAAAUGGCACAUUAUGCUGCAGACUGUUGGGAUGCUGAAAUUGAAUGCUCUUAUGGAUGGAUUGAGUGUGUUGGUAUAGCUGAUAGAUCUGCAUAUGACUUGCGUGCUCACACGGUGAGGCUUACAUAAAAUAGCCACAUACGGUUAAUUUAUUAUAUUCUCAGAUCUGCGUAUGACUUGCGUGCUCACACGGUGAGGCUUACAUAAAAUAGCCACAUACGGUUAAUUUAUUAUAUUCUUCAACCUACCCACAUAUGCUACAUCAGUUGCUUGCUGUUUCCACAUUCACUAUCUUCUUCUUUUCAGUAUCUAUCUGUUAACUUAUGGUUCGCCUAGU
RNAcentral lists this long non-coding RNA (379 nucleotides) under Nicotiana benthamiana. RNAcentral describes it as "long non-coding RNA (NBEN_LNC030507)". Lineage: Eukaryota; Viridiplantae; Streptophyta; Magnoliopsida; Solanales; Solanaceae. The record is from RNAcentral.